Molecule: ribosomal RNA, 497 nt
Filed under: uncultured bacterium
Lineage: Bacteria
Description: partial 16S ribosomal RNA
Rfam family: Bacterial small subunit ribosomal RNA
Source: RNAcentral
GACGAACGCUGGCGGCGUGCCUAAUACAUGCGAGUUGAGCGAUGAAGCUUGGUGCUUGCACCAAUUUGAAGAGCAGCGAACGGGUGAGUAACGCGUGGGGAAUCUGCCUUUGAGCGGGGGACAACAUUUGGAAACGAAUGCUAAUACCGCAUAACAACUUUAAACAUAAGUUUUAAGUUUGAAAGAUGCAAUUGCAUCACUCAAAGAUGAUCCCGCGUUGUAUUAGCUAGUUGGUGAGGUAAAGGCUCACCAAGGCGAUGAUACAUAGCCGACCUGAGAGGGUGAUCGGCCACAUUGGGACUGAGACACGGCCCAAACUCCUACGGGAGGCAGCAGUAGGGAAUCUUCGGCAAUGGACGAAAGUCUGACCGAGCAACGCCGCGUGAGUGAAGAAGGUUUUCGGAUCGUAAAACUCUGUUGGUAGAGAAGAACGUUGGUGAGAGUGGAAAGCUCAUCAAGUGACGGUAACUACCCAGAAAGGGACGGCUAACUACGUG